CCCUUAGAUGUCCUGGGCCGCACGCGCGUUACACUGAUGCAUUCAACGAGCUUAUAACCUUGGCCGAGAGGCCUGGGCAAUCUUGUUAACGUGCAUCGUGAUAGGGAUAGAUUAUUGAAAUUAUUAAUCUUGAACGAGGAAUUCCUAGUAAACGCAGAUCAUCAAUCUGCAUUGAUUACGUCCCUGCCCUUUGUACACACCGCCCGUCGCACCUACCGAUUGGAUGGUCCGGUGAAGCGUCGGGAUUGUGGUUCUUGCCGCUUUAUUGUGGCGUGACCGCGAGAACUUGUCUAAACCUUAUCAUCUAGAGGAAGGUGAAGUCGUAACA
RNAcentral lists this ribosomal RNA (328 nucleotides) under uncultured eukaryote. RNAcentral describes it as "partial 18S ribosomal RNA". It matches the Rfam family "Eukaryotic small subunit ribosomal RNA", at positions 1470 to 1796 of the family's 1831-position model. The record is from RNAcentral.